AUCUCCUCGUGGAGAUCUCUCUUUGGUGAAGCUUUUUCCUGCAAACCUGGAAUCUUCUGAUAUGGCAUGGUUUGACCUGGUUGUGGUCCAAGGGUUUAUCUUGGGAUGUUAACAUCAAGAUCCAAGUGUUUUCCAGACCUUUGCUUGCCUGUGCAUCUUCAGAGCAAGCCGUUCCUUUGCCUCAAAGCCAAGCUGUAUCAAAGGACCAGUGAAAGACAUCUAACACAGUCACCUACCUACUCCUUUCACUUGGCAAAGACAGCUUUGACUGCAACUGUGUGCCAUGGACUGUCUCCUAAAACAAAGCAAUGCUUCAUGUAGGAGAAGUGUCUAAAGAAAGAAACAAAGUUGGCCCAAAGUGUUGCAUGCGGUGCCCUUGAGAUUCUUGUGAUGCUGGAGGAUGUUUCCUAAAAGAAGGAUUGUGUGACAAGAGUAACUUUGUGAAUAAGGCAAUGCUCUGACUUUGUGAAGUGAUCCUGAGGCUUUCUUAGCCUUUUAGUUUAUAUGAAAUUUGAAAAAAAAAAAAAAAAAAAAACAAACAAAAAAAAAAAAGAAAAAAAACAAACCUCUGUAUGUUGGCCACAGAGCUUCCAGUUUUUUAGAUAGGAAAAAUGGGAUUUAUCUUUAGCGUUAGUCAUGUGCAGUGCUACUUUUCUCCAUCCAUCAGUCCUGGAAUAAAAGGGAUUUCCCUUCAGAAGUAUCUAUCUAGAUCUUCAUAUGUGGACUUCAAAAGAAUUUUCGUAUGUAAAUAUGCAUAUUGUAGGUAUCUGACGUUGAGCAAAUGAAUCCCACAUGAAGUGCUCACUGUGCUGAACUGAAAUCUGGGAGUCUGUCACGUUAUACUUUAGAGAUCUUUGCUAGUAUAGCAGUAUUAAGCCCUUGGGUAAUACAUUACUGUUUAAAUUAGUGCAAAUCUUCUAAGGAUUACUUUCUUUCUUCUUGUAGAAUUUGACUAGAUUAGGGAGGUGUAUUAUGACAAUGCUGUAUUGCGACUUGGUUUUAUCUGAAGGAAGGACUUAAAUUUCUACUGUCCCUGAACUAUGAACGGCUGUGCAUUGAUAUGGCCAGGGUGCCUUUGUGUUAAUAUUGUGUGGCCAGAAUGUCAG
Molecule: long non-coding RNA, 1106 nt
Filed under: Gallus gallus (chicken)
Lineage: Eukaryota; Metazoa; Chordata; Aves; Galliformes; Phasianidae
Description: lncRNA (ENSGALG00010017216.1)
Source: RNAcentral